Molecule: non-coding RNA, 628 nt
Organism: Nelumbo nucifera (sacred lotus)
Lineage: Eukaryota; Viridiplantae; Streptophyta; Magnoliopsida; Proteales; Nelumbonaceae
Source: RefSeq, a predicted model, not a curated record
UAUUCAAAAGAAAGACUUUUCCUAAGCUAAUGUGGGUCCUUCUGGAGUGGGGGGAGCAUUUAGAGACAAAGAUGGUAAUAUUAUAGCACUGUGUUCAGGAUCAUUGUUGUUGGGGAUUCUAUCAUUCUAUCGUUCUAUGAAGGCUGAACUCUAUGCUGUUCUACAAGGAGUGAAACAGGGAAAAAGAUAUGAAUUUGGAUAGGAUGAUUGCCUUAGAUGCUGCUAACCUUCAGUUGGUGGCAGUACAACUAGUCAAGGCAAAACUAGAAGUGAUGUUUGGAAGAAUUAGUGCUACUACCAUUCCAGUGAUGUUUGGAAGUUACAAAGAUAGGACAUCCUCGAGUCAGUUCUCACCAGAUUUGUCAACGACCUUCAACCCAGUUGGCUUGCAGGAAUUGCUGCUUGAAUAUUUCAAGAAAAUGGAUUGGGUGGAUUGAGGAAUCUCAAGGAAUGGAUCUUAGUGAGAAUUUUCCAACAGCCUCUGAAGCGGAAGAGUGAAACAGAAGAUUGUGAAGGCUUCCAUGAGUGGACUACCAGUCCUGGAUACACUGAAGUGGUUAACAGCCCCCUUCGUACACCAGUAUCAGGAAAAGGGGGCAGGGUAUACAGCAAGUCAAAGGUUCCAAAG